GAUGAACGCUGGCGGCGUGCCUAAUACAUGCAAGUCGAGCGAACGGACGAGAAGCUUGCUUCUCUGAUGUUAGCGGCGGACGGGUGAGUAACACGUGGAUAACCUACCUAUAAGACUGGGAUAACUUCGGGAAACCGGAGCUAAUACCGGAUAAUAUUUUGAACCGCAUGGUUCAAAAGUAAAAGACGGUCUUGCUGUCACUUAUAGAUGGAUCCGCGCUGCAUUAGCUAGUUGGUAAGGUAACGGCUUACCAAGGCAACGAUGCAUAGCCGACCUGAGAGGGUGAUCGGCCACACUGGAACUGAGACACGGUCCAGACUCCUACGGGAGGCAGCAGUAGGGAAUCUUCCGCAAUGGGCGAAGGCCUGACGGAGCAACGCCGCGUGAGUGAUGAAGGUCUUCGGAUCGUAAAACUCUGUUAUUAGGGAAGAACAUAUGUGUAAGUAACUGUGCACAUCUUGACGGUACCUAAUCAGAAAGCCACGGCUAACUACGU
RNAcentral lists this ribosomal RNA (496 nucleotides) under uncultured bacterium. RNAcentral describes it as "partial 16S ribosomal RNA". It matches the Rfam family "Bacterial small subunit ribosomal RNA", at positions 28 to 506 of the family's 1533-position model. The record is from RNAcentral.